RNAcentral lists this ribosomal RNA (492 nucleotides) under uncultured bacterium. RNAcentral's name for it is "partial 16S ribosomal RNA". It matches the Rfam family "Bacterial small subunit ribosomal RNA", at positions 29 to 507 of the family's 1533-position model. The record is from RNAcentral.
AGUGAACGCUGGCGGUAGGCCUAACACAUGCAAGUCGAACGGCAGCACAGUAAGAGCUUGCUCUUACGGGUGGCGAGUGGCGGACGGGUGAGGAAUACAUCGGAAUCUACUUUUUCGUGGGGGAUAACGUAGGGAAACUUACGCUAAUACCGCAUACGACCUACAGGUGAAAGCAGGGGAUCUUCGGACCUUGCGCGAUUGAAUGAGCCGAUGUCGGAUUAGCCAGUUGGCGGGGUAAAGGCCCACCAAGGCGACGAUCCGUAGCUGGUCUGAGAGGAUGAUCAGCCACACUGGAACUGAGACACGGUCCAGACUCCUACGGGAGGCAGCAGUGGGGAAUAUUGGACAAUGGGCGCAAGCCUGAUCCAGCCAUACCGCGUGGGUGAAGAAGGCCUUCGGGUUGUAAAGCCCUUUUGUUGGGAAAGAAAAGCAGCAGGUUAAUACCCCGCUGUUCUGACGGUACCCAAAGAAUAAGCACCGGCUAACCUCGUG